CUAAUAAAUGCGCGCUUCCUUCCUUCUGCUUCCAAACUUUAGGUAGAAAGAUUCCAUUUAAAACAUUUGUCUAAAGAUUAAGAAGAUUGUAUAAAUCUUUCGCCUUCUACAUCCAAAGAAUCCAGAAUUCAGAAUCCAGCCCAUCACCCAUGCCUCCAGGAGCUAUGAUCAUCUAAGAGAAUGGUGACAAACAGAUGGGCAGAGUGUUUUCUUGUGCACCUGUUACUACUUGGAAGGACCUGAAUUUUACUUCUUACUGCAAAAAUGAAAAUAAAAAUCUGAAGAACCUAAUCUCUGAUUCCACUCUGAAUCAGACUGUCUGUACUCCCUCU
This is a long non-coding RNA of Sarcophilus harrisii (Tasmanian devil), 332 nucleotides long. RefSeq lists it as uncharacterized. The transcript is spliced from 3 exons. The record is from RefSeq and is a predicted model, not a curated record. Lineage: Eukaryota; Metazoa; Chordata; Mammalia; Dasyuromorphia; Dasyuridae.